UCUUUUUACAGACUGAGUGGAGGAGACACCAUCAAGCUGCUGAUCUGACGGACAUCCACAGGAACAAGCUGAUGUGCUUUGAGUCACCUCCACUGUAAAAACAACAACUGAAGUGGUGCCAACAAACCAAGCCUCUCUCUGCUUCAGCUAAAGGCUUGUUAACUUGUCGUCAGCUGUGGAACGCAGGAAAACCAGUUUUCAGCUGGCAGAAAACAAACUACAUCGUGCUUUUCAAAGCGUCGUCUCCACCGGUGUAAAGUCAGACACAGCAGGAUCCUGACGUUUCCUGGCAGACCUGAAAUUGAAUUGAAUGUGUCCGGGUCCUCCAUGCAGGUGUGUGUGCUGGGCUGCAGCUUCAUGCCUCCAUCUAGUGGACUGAUAGUAGAAGUCCAGCAGCUGAUGGCAGCUUCCUCUGCCUCACGCUGCUGUCUGACUGCAUUCAGCUGCAGCUGAUAUGAAACAGAAACUAGCAGCCAAUCAGUGGAGG
Micropterus salmoides (largemouth bass) is the source of this 487-nucleotide long non-coding RNA. RefSeq lists it as uncharacterized. The record is from RefSeq and is a predicted model, not a curated record. Lineage: Eukaryota; Metazoa; Chordata; Actinopteri; Centrarchiformes; Centrarchidae. The transcript is spliced from 3 exons.